UUUAUAGCUAUGAGAUCUGAGGGC
Molecule: small nuclear RNA, 24 nt
Filed under: Arabidopsis thaliana (thale cress)
Lineage: Eukaryota; Viridiplantae; Streptophyta; Magnoliopsida; Brassicales; Brassicaceae
Description: snRNA_12641
Source: RNAcentral